GGCAGGUGAUUCUUUGCCCUCUUUCCAAAGCACGCAAGAUCUUCAAAGUCCCACACUUGGAGCACUGUUCUCACCCUUGGCUUCUUCAUCUUCAAACUACUUGGGGGUUGAAAUCUUGGCAAUAACCAGAGUUAGGGAACUGCAGGGAUGACAAACUGGACUCAAUAAUGAGUGACUGUGGAUAGGCUGCUCAUGACUGCAGCUCAACUUGAGUAGUUUUUGUUGGGUACAAAGCCGCAGACGGGCCAGUUUAUUAAGCUCAUGGGUGAGAACCA
Molecule: long non-coding RNA, 275 nt
Organism: Girardinichthys multiradiatus
Lineage: Eukaryota; Metazoa; Chordata; Actinopteri; Cyprinodontiformes; Goodeidae
Exons: 3
Source: RefSeq, a predicted model, not a curated record